ACGAACGCUGGCGGCGUGCUUCACACAUGCAAGUCGAACGGUGAAGCGCCUUCCUUUUUGGUGGGUGUGGAUGAGUGGCGAACGGGUGAGUAACACGUGAGUAACCUGCCCCCUUCUUCUGGAUAACCGCAUGAAAGUGUGGCCAAUACGGGAUAUUCUGGGUCUGUCGCAUGAUGGGUCUGGGAAAGAUAUUGUUUCGGUGGGGGAUGGGCUCGCGGCCUAUCAGCUUGUUGGUGGGGUGAUGGCCUACCAAGGCGGUGACGGGUAGCCGGCCUGAGAGGGUGGGCGGUCACACAGGGACUGAGACACAGCCCAGACUCCUACGGGAGACAGAAGUGGGGAAUACUGCACAAUGGGCGCAAGCCUGAUGCAGCGACGCCGCGUGAGGGAUGGAGGCCUUCGGGUUGUGAACCUCUUUCGCCAGUGAAGCAGGCCUGCCUCGUUUGUGGGUGGGUUGACGGUAGCUGGAUAAGAAGCGCCGGCUAACUACGUG
This 493-nucleotide ribosomal RNA is filed under the name uncultured bacterium. Its description in RNAcentral is "partial 16S ribosomal RNA". It matches the Rfam family "Bacterial small subunit ribosomal RNA", at positions 29 to 507 of the family's 1533-position model. The record is from RNAcentral.